AACGAACGCUGGCGGUAUGCCUUACACAUGCAAGUCGAACGAGAAAGCUUCUUCGGAAGUGAUUAGAGUGGCGCACGGGUGAGUAACACGUAGGUGACCUACCUUUCGGGCGGGGGAUAACCAGGAGAAAUUCUGGCUAAUACCGCGUACGUACAAUUAAAGUGAAAGUGAUUGUAGAAAGAAUGCCUCUAUACUAUGCAUUUGCCGAAAGAUGGGCCUGCGAAGCAUUAGUUUGUUGGUGGGGUAAUGGCCUACCAAGACUACGAUGCUUAGCCGGAUUGAGAGAUUGAUCGGCCACACUGGGACUGAGACACGGCCCAG
Molecule: ribosomal RNA, 321 nt
Filed under: uncultured bacterium
Lineage: Bacteria
Description: bacterial SSU rRNA
Rfam family: Bacterial small subunit ribosomal RNA
Source: RNAcentral